Molecule: non-coding RNA, 30 nt
Filed under: Mus musculus (house mouse)
Lineage: Eukaryota; Metazoa; Chordata; Mammalia; Rodentia; Muridae
Source: RNAcentral
UACUUGAAUUUUAGGGGCCAAAAUGAUGUG